Molecule: ribosomal RNA, 1503 nt
Filed under: Escherichia coli
Lineage: Bacteria; Pseudomonadati; Pseudomonadota; Gammaproteobacteria; Enterobacterales; Enterobacteriaceae
Description: partial 23S ribosomal RNA
Rfam family: Bacterial large subunit ribosomal RNA
Source: RNAcentral
AUAAAGCGGGUGAAAAGCCCGCUCGCCGGAAGACCAAGGGUUCCUGUCCAACGUUAAUCGGGGCAGGGUGAGUCGACCCCUAAGGCGAGGCCGAAAGGCGUAGUCGAUGGGAAACAGGUUAAUAUUCCUGUACUUGGUGUUACUGCGAAGGGGGGACGGAGAAGGCUAUGUUGGCCGGGCGACGGUUGUCCCGGUUUAAGCGUGUAGGCUGGUUUUCCAGGCAAAUCCGGAAAAUCAAGGCUGAGGCGUGAUGACGAGGCACUACGGUGCUGAAGCAACAAAUGCCCUGCUUCCAGGAAAAGCCUCUAAGCAUCAGGUAACAUCAAAUCGUACCCCAAACCGACACAGGUGGUCAGGUAGAGAAUACCAAGGCGCUUGAGAGAACUCGGGUGAAGGAACUAGGCAAAAUGGUGCCGUAACUUCGGGAGAAGGCACGCUGAUAUGUAGGUGAAGUCCCUCGCGGAUGGAGCUGAAAUCAGUCGAAGAUACCAGCUGGCUGCAACUGUUUAUUAAAAACACAGCACUGUGCAAACACGAAAGUGGACGUAUACGGUGUGACGCCUGCCCGGUGCCGGAAGGUUAAUUGAUGGGGUUAGCCGCAAGGCGAAGCUCUUGAUCGAAGCCCCGGUAAACGGCGGCCGUAACUAUAACGGUCCUAAGGUAGCGAAAUUCCUUGUCGGGUAAGUUCCGACCUGCACGAAUGGCGUAAUGAUGGCCAGGCUGUCUCCACCCGAGACUCAGUGAAAUUGAACUCGCUGUGAAGAUGCAGUGUACCCGCGGCAAGACGGAAAGACCCCGUGAACCUUUACUAUAGCUUGACACUGAACAUUGAGCCUUGAUGUGUAGGAUAGGUGGGAGGCUUAGAAGUGUGGACGCCAGUCUGCAUGGAGCCGACCUUGAAAUACCACCCUUUAAUGUUUGAUGUUCUAACGUUGACCCGUAAUCCGGGUUGCGGACAGUGUCUGGUGGGUAGUUUGACUGGGGCGGUCUCCUCCUAAAGAGUAACGGAGGAGCACGAAGGUUGGCUAAUCCUGGUCGGACAUCAGGAGGUUAGUGCAAUGGCAUAAGCCAGCUUGACUGCGAGCGUGACGGCGCGAGCAGGUGCGAAAGCAGGUCAUAGUGAUCCGGUGGUUCUGAAUGGAAGGGCCAUCGCUCAACGGAUAAAAGGUACUCCGGGGAUAACAGGCUGAUACCGCCCAAGAGUUCAUAUCGACGGCGGUGUUUGGCACCUCGAUGUCGGCUCAUCACAUCCUGGGGCUGAAGUAGGUCCCAAGGGUAUGGCUGUUCGCCAUUUAAAGUGGUACGCGAGCUGGGUUUAGAACGUCGUGAGACAGUUCGGUCCCUAUCUGCCGUGGGCGCUGGAGAACUGAGGGGGGCUGCUCCUAGUACGAGAGGACCGGAGUGGACGCAUCACUGGUGUUCGGGUUGUCAUGCCAAUGGCACUGCCCGGUAGCUAAAUGCGGAAGAGAUAAGUGCUGAAAGCAUCUAAGCACGAAACUUGCC